AGUGAACGCUGGCGGUAGGCCUAACACAUGCAAGUCGAACGGCAGCACAGUAAGAGCUUGCUCUUACGGGUGGCGAGUGGCGGACGGGUGAGGAAUACAUCGGAAUCUACUUUUUCGUGGGGGAUAACGUAGGGAAACUUACGCUAAUACCGCAUACGACCUACGGGUGAAAGCAGGGGAUCUUCGGACCUUGCGCGUUUGAAUGAGCCGAUGUCGGAUUAGCUAGUUGGCGGGGUAAAGGCCCACCAAGGCGACGAUCCGUAGCUGGUCUGAGAGGAUGAUCAGCCACACUGGAACUGAGACACGGUCCAGACUCCUACGGGAGGCAGCAGUGGGGAAUAUUGGACAAUGGGCGCAAGCCUGAUCCAGCCAUACCGCGUGGGUGAAGAAGGCCUUCGGGUUGUAAAGCCCUUUUGUUGGGAAAGAAAAGCGGCAGGUUAAUACCCCGCUGUUCUGACGGUACCCAAAGAAUAAGCACCGGCUAACUUCGUG
This 492-nucleotide ribosomal RNA is filed under the name uncultured bacterium. RNAcentral's name for it is "partial 16S ribosomal RNA". It matches the Rfam family "Bacterial small subunit ribosomal RNA", at positions 29 to 507 of the family's 1533-position model. The record is from RNAcentral.